UGCUAAGUCAUUAUACUGUCAUUUUAAAUCAUCCCUCUUAGUAUUGAUUUACACCUGGCACAUAUAAGUUGACAGUUAAUGCAUAAAGAGUGUAGUUUCUAUAAUAUCAAAUAUGAGGUCUACACAAUUAAAUCAAAGAGUUCAGGUUUUGGCAAUCAGUAAACCAAAAGAGUGACCACUUGUUUAUAUGAAGAGUCAACACACACAAUGUGUAACCAUAUAUGGAGAUAGUUUUAGAUCUAUGCAUGACAAGAAAGUGAAAUCAAUGUUUUUAAGAUAAAAGCUUGAGGACAUAUAACAAAACUAUAACAAUGCUGAUUAUGAAAACCCCAUGACAUGUCACAUACAACUUUUGGAAUGCAGCAAUUUUCAGUAUGAGAACAAAGGCAAGGAUUAAAUUACUGUAAAAACUGACUCUGAAACAUUGAAGACAAAGAAAUAAAAGUUUUACAUCAGAGGAAAUGACUGUGCACUUCUUUCUUGAAGGAUCAACACACAAAAGGAAAAGUGCAUAUCUUUAUCCAUCACUUGCAGUAGUUGAGAUAAUUUUGGAUACACACAAAAAACUGUGAACUGAGUCAGAAUUAUAAUUUAAACAUCAUAUGUGGUACCUGCAUGUACUUACUGGUACACGUACAUAUAUUGUUACUUUGUAAUUCACAAUAUUUUACAUGAAUAUAGGAAUAUUCUUUGCAUGUUACAUGUGAAAUAAAAAAAGACAAGUAUAGGAAUAAAGAAUUAUCUAUUACAACAUUAUCAUAUGAAAACCAGUAGGAUGAUAUAUGCCUUCAUUUAUUAUGGAUCAUGGAAACCCACAAGAAAGUAUUGUACAUGUAUGGAUUGUAAUUAUCAGUUUUAAUUCAAUGUGACAUAUGCAAUGCUUUUUGUUUUAAUUUUCAGAAAACUAUUUGAAAUGAAUGAAAAAGUUAUCAUAAGUUUCUUUGACAUUGAAACUGUUGAAAUAGACAUAUAUGUAUUUAAUAGGCAGAUAAUACUCAUAAUGAACUCAAUGCUUUCACAUGCAUACAAUUUUAUUGAAUAAACAAAUAGUUUUAU
Mytilus trossulus (common blue mussel) is the source of this 1056-nucleotide long non-coding RNA. RefSeq lists it as uncharacterized. The record is from RefSeq and is a predicted model, not a curated record. The transcript is spliced from 3 exons. NCBI's taxonomy places the organism in Eukaryota, Metazoa, Mollusca, Bivalvia, Mytilida, Mytilidae.